This 779-nucleotide ribosomal RNA is filed under the name uncultured Neocallimastigales. Its description in RNAcentral is "partial large subunit ribosomal RNA". It matches the Rfam family "Eukaryotic large subunit ribosomal RNA", at positions 26 to 635 of the family's 3401-position model. The record is from RNAcentral. Lineage: Eukaryota; Fungi; Neocallimastigomycota; Neocallimastigomycetes; Neocallimastigales.
CGUCUAUAUACGUAUAGCAUAUCAAUAAGCGGAGGAAAAGAAACUAACUAGGAUUCCCUCAGUAACGGCGAGUGAAGCGGGAAGAGCUCAAAUUUGAAAUCUUCAAGGUUUUACCUUGACGAAUUGUAGUUUAAAGAAGUGUUUUCUGUUGGAAUUUUGGUAAAAGUUCUUUGGAAAUAGGACAUCAAUAGAGGGUGAGAAUCCCGUAUUUGACCAUUAUUUCCAGCUUUGUGAUACACUUUCAAAGAGUCGGAUUGUUUGGGAAUGCAGUCCAAAAUGGGUGGUAAAUUUCAUCUAAAGCUAAAUACUGGCGAGAGACCGAUAGCGAACAAGUACCGUGAGGGAAAGAUGAAAAGAACUUUGAAAGGAGAGUUAAACAGUACGUGAAAUUGUCAAAAGGGAAGCGUUUGACACCAGUGUUGUUUUCUCGAAAAUCAAUUAAAAGUGUCAGGAUUUUGUAGUCGUAAUUGACUUUAUCAGCUUACUGCUACUCUUUUCUUGUCUUUUUAAUGCACUUUUCGUUUAACAAGUCAACAUCAAUUUCUUUUGUCUGUAAAAGAGUCAUUGGAAGGUGGCUUUCUUUUCGGAGAAAGUGUUUAUAGCCUUUGACUUCUGCAGUCGGAGAGAUUGAGGUCUGCAGCGUAGAUCCUUCGGGGUUAGAUACAUUUGUGCUAAGUUAUAGCCUUUCAUAGACAACUUGUUGACUAUGAUCAGUCAUGUAGCUUACUCGCCUAUGUUAUUUUACCUACGCUUAGGAUGUUGACGAUCAGCUGAGCGCG